This 253-nucleotide ribosomal RNA is filed under the name uncultured bacterium. RNAcentral's name for it is "partial 16S ribosomal RNA". It matches the Rfam family "Bacterial small subunit ribosomal RNA", at positions 524 to 776 of the family's 1533-position model. The record is from RNAcentral.
UACGAAGGGGGCUAGCGUUGUUCGGAAUUACUGGGCGUAAAGCGCGCGUAGGCGGCGAUCUUUGUCAGAGGUGAAAUCCCGAGGCUCAACUUCGGAAUUGCCUUUGAAACGGGAUCGCUAGAGUCCGAGAGAGGGUGGCGGAAUUCCUAGUGUAGAGGUGAAAUUCGUAGAUAUUAGGAAGAACACCGGUGGCGAAGGCGGCCACCUGGCUCGGUACUGACGCUCAGGCGCGAAAGCGUGGGGAGCAAACAGG